RNAcentral lists this transfer RNA (72 nucleotides) under Sus scrofa (pig). It matches the Rfam family "tRNA". Rfam says of the family: Transfer RNA (tRNA) molecules are approximately 80 nucleotides in length. Their secondary structure includes four short double-helical elements and three loops (D, anti-codon, and T loops). The record is from Rfam by way of RNAcentral. Lineage: Eukaryota; Metazoa; Chordata; Mammalia; Artiodactyla; Suidae.
UCCCUGGUGGUCAAGUGGUUAGGAUUUGGUGCUCCCAGUGCUAUGGCCCAGGUUUGAUUCCCAGUCAGGGAA